RNAcentral lists this ribosomal RNA (526 nucleotides) under uncultured bacterium. RNAcentral's name for it is "bacterial SSU rRNA". It matches the Rfam family "Bacterial small subunit ribosomal RNA", at positions 777 to 1304 of the family's 1533-position model. The record is from RNAcentral.
AAUAAUACCCAGGUAGUCCACGCCGUAAACGAUGAGUGCUAAGUGUUAGAGGGUUUCCGCCCUUUAGUGCUGAAGUUAACGCAUUACGCACUCCGCCUGGGGAGUACGGCCGCAAGGCUGAAACUCAAAGGAAUUGACGGGGGCCCGCACAAGCGGUGGAGCAUGUAGUUUAAUUCGAAGCAACGCGAAGAACCUUACCAGGUCUUGACAUCCUCUGACAACCCUAGAGAUAGGGCUUCUCCUUCGGGAGCAGAGUGACAGGUGGUGCAUGGUUGUCGUCAGCUCGUGUCGUGAGAUGUUGGGUUAAGUCCCGCAACGAGCGCAACCCUUGAUCUUAGUUGCCAUCAUUAAGUUGGGCACUCUAAGGUGACUGCCGGUGACAAACCGGAGGAAGGUGGGGAUGACGUCAAAUCAUCAUGCCCCUUAUGACCUGGGCUACACACGUGCUACAAUGGACGGUACAAAGAGCUGCAAGACCGCGAGGUGGAGCUAAUCUCAUAAAACCGUUCUCAGUUCGGAUUGUAGG